GUGGGGAAUUUUGGACAAUGGGCGCAAGCCUGAUCCAGCAAUGCCGCGUGCAGGAAGAAGGCCUUCGGGUUGUAAACUGCUUUUGUACGGAACGAAACGGUCCGGGUUAAUACCCUGGGCUAAUGACGGUACCGUAAGAAUAAGCACCGGCUAACUACGUGCCAGCAGCCGCGGUAAUACGUAGGGUGCAAGCGUUAAUCGGAAUUACUGGGCGUAAAGCGUGCGCAGGCGUUUUUGUAAGUCAGGCGUGAAAUCCCCGGGCUCAACCUGGGAAUUGCGCUUGUGACUGCAAGGCUGGAGUGCGGCAGAGGGGGAUGGAAUUCCGCGUGUAGCAGUGAAAUGCGUAGAUAUGCGGAGGAACACCGAUGGCGAAGGCAAUCCCCUGGGCCUGCACUGACGCUCAUGCACGAAAGCGUGGGGAGCAAACAGGAUUAGAAACCCUUGUAGUCC
RNAcentral lists this ribosomal RNA (450 nucleotides) under uncultured bacterium. RNAcentral describes it as "bacterial SSU rRNA". It matches the Rfam family "Bacterial small subunit ribosomal RNA", at positions 354 to 796 of the family's 1533-position model. The record is from RNAcentral.